CAUUCAACAUGACAACUUUUUGGAACAGAUUGCAGAGAACUAAUAUAUAUAAUUGAGGAUUCAAUGGUGUGGCCAAGUUUUUCAAUAUAGCUAAAGGCUUUGAAAAGAUGAUUACACGAUUUCAGAGUUGUAUUUCACCCCGAUCAGAAAACAGUUACACAUAUUCAUUGGCUAAUAUAGUGAAAACAUUUCAUAGGGAACUAGAUUUCACUAGUUAUUAAUUCUAUUCCGGUUAAGUCUCAUGUUUGAAAAAUAAAACACCUGUUUGCUAUCCAAAGUAAAUAACAAGGGGGGUAUCAAAUUAGCAGAUUGAGAGCUAUAUGAAAACCUAAUAUGACCUCCACGAAAUACUGAUACGCGACAGAAUUGGUAGACAAUGUGUAAACCAAAAUGGGAUACAACAAGUGAUUUUUUAAAUUAUAUGUAAUAUCUAAUAUUUGGAUUACAGAAAAAACGUUACAAUACAAAGAAAAGUGCAACUGUACCUAUCUAGCCACCUAAAUAUCAACAUAUCUAC
RNAcentral lists this long non-coding RNA (517 nucleotides) under Brassica napus (rape). RNAcentral's name for it is "long non-coding RNA (BNAP_LNC022522)". Lineage: Eukaryota; Viridiplantae; Streptophyta; Magnoliopsida; Brassicales; Brassicaceae. The record is from RNAcentral.